Molecule: ribosomal RNA, 417 nt
Filed under: uncultured bacterium
Lineage: Bacteria
Description: bacterial SSU rRNA
Rfam family: Bacterial small subunit ribosomal RNA
Source: RNAcentral
UAUUGGCCAAUGGAGGCAACUCUGAACCAGCCAUGCCGCGUGCAGGAAGAAUGUCCUAUGGAUUGUAAACUGCUUUUAUUUAGGAAUAAACCUCUUUACGUGUAGAGAGCUGAAGGUACUAAAAGAAUAAGCACCGGCUAACUCCGUGCCAGCAGCCGCGGUAAUACGGAGGGUGCAAGCGUUAUCCGGAAUCAUUGGGUUUAAAGGGUCCGCAGGCGGAAAUGUAAGUCAGAGGUGAAAUCCGGCAGCUCAACUGUCGCAUUGCCUUUGAUACUGUGUUUCUUGAAUUUUAAUGGAGUGGGCGGAAUAUGUCAUGUAGCGGUGAAAUGCUUAGAUAUGACAUGGAACACCGAUAGCGAAGGCAGCUCACUAAUUAUGAAUUGACGCUCAUGGACGAAAGCGUGGGUAGCAAACAGG